AGAGUUUGAUCGAUGGCUCAGGAUGAACGCUAGCUACAGGCUUAACACGAUGCAAGUCGAGGGGCAGCGGGGAUCUAGCUUGCUAGAUCUGCCGGCGACCGGCGCACGGGUGAGUAACGCGUAUCCAACUUCCCCUUAGUAGGGCAUAGCCCGUAGAAAUGCGGAUUAAUACCCUAUGUUCUUCGUCGAAGACAUCUGAAGUGAAGCAAAGAUUUAUCGCUAAGGGGAUGGGGAUGCGUCUGAUUAGCUUGCCGGCGGGGUAACGGCCCACCGGGGCAACGAUCAGUAGGGGUUCUGAGAGGAAGGUCCCCCCACAUUGGAACUGAGACACGGUCCAAACUCCUACGGGAGGCAGCAGUGAGGAAUAUUGGUCAAUGGACGGGAGUCUGGACCAGCCAAGUAGCGUGCAGGAUGACGGCCCUAUGGGUUGUAAACUGCUUUUAUGCGGGGAUAAAGUUCACUACGUGUAGUGUUUUGUAGGUACCGCAUGAAUAAGGACCGGCUAAUUCCGUGCCAGCCGCGGC
RNAcentral lists this ribosomal RNA (524 nucleotides) under uncultured bacterium. RNAcentral's name for it is "bacterial SSU rRNA". It matches the Rfam family "Bacterial small subunit ribosomal RNA", at positions 8 to 518 of the family's 1533-position model. The record is from RNAcentral.